ACCAACUUAAACUUUCUCUCUAUAUUGACAAUAUUUAUAAGGGUAUGAAAAUGGUGUUGCUACAGUUGUCGUAUUUAUUAUCCUGUUUUCUGAGUGAUUACACCUGUUUUUGAGAGAUUUGAGAGAAAUCCAAGUUCCUGUGUGGGAUUGUUGUAAACUUCUUGUUGGUGGUCAAUCUACGUUUGUGAGCCUCAAAGGAAGAUGUCGUCACGUAGACAAUGCAUUUUGUUGAACAUAUCGUGUUCAAAUCAUUAAGCCACCAAUUUGUGCGCAAAGCAGAUCAAGAAAACAUUUUAAUGGAUUCUUAUCCACAGUAGUAGUAAACUCAAUACUAUAAAUUCCGAUUUCUCCAGGGCAGUAGGCUACCUUUUUUUGACAAAAAAUGGUGAAUUCACAUGCUCGUCCUGAUGGGAAGCAAUUCCUACAAGCUCCUAGUGCGUUCUGCCAUUCCACUCAAAAUAUCCUCUCUCUUUUUUGUUCGCGAAUUUGGCACAAUUCGAUUCAGGUGAACGAAGUCCUACAGAAAAAAUGGAACCUUCAAAUGGCAUCAUAAGAAACUAUUUCACAUUUGCUGUGUUGGGGAUCCUAGGAGUUCAAUCAACCAAAACAUCAACCAAUAGAAGAUAUUCUAAGGCAAAACAAUGAAAAAGGGAUGGAAAAAUACAACCUGUCUUUGGCCGAAAUUUCUGCAGUUUUCCUUUCUCGUUUCAGCAGCUUCUUCUUCGAUUUAUGGGUGUUUUUCAGGCUCAGGAACAGCCUCCAUGACUUGCAAAUCACCUUCCAAGAGAGAGGGGAAAAAAUCCGGCAAAGAACCACCACCUUAAGCUAAAACCGAGAGCUCCCCUUCUGCUGGGAAUAAAAAAAAAAAAAAACCGAGAGCUUCCCCUUUCUUUUGAAAUGGUAGAGAGUACAUAUGAAGGGGAAGGAAGGAAAGACCAUGCCUCUGCCAAAACGUGGGAAGACCUCAUUGUGUCAACAUCAAUACCAUCAAGUCACAACAUUGGGUGGGGUUAGGUGAACCAUAUCCUCACAUUCUUCACCUUGGUUCUCCUAACACUCUCUC
This 1063-nucleotide long non-coding RNA is filed under the name Olea europaea subsp. europaea. The record is from RNAcentral. Lineage: Eukaryota; Viridiplantae; Streptophyta; Magnoliopsida; Lamiales; Oleaceae.